AGAAUUGAGAGGCCAAGGUGACUGCUAUUUAAGAGGCUAAAGAUCUCAACAAACUAACCUUAGAAGAACUUAUAGGCUUACUCAUGACUUAUGAAUUGAGCAUGAACCAAAACAUAGAAGAAGUAAAAAAAGAAAGAUCAUUGCACUAAAAUCAUCUAUCAUGGAAGAGCUGAAAAGUGAUUCAUUAGAAGAUUCAGAAAAUAAAGAUGAGAUGGCAAUGAUUAUCAGAAGAUUUAAGAGGUUUAUGAAAAGAAAGAAAUUCUUCCUAAAAAAAAUGAUAUACA
Molecule: long non-coding RNA, 284 nt
Filed under: Elaeis guineensis (African oil palm)
Lineage: Eukaryota; Viridiplantae; Streptophyta; Magnoliopsida; Arecales; Arecaceae
Description: long non-coding RNA (EGUI_LNC020496)
Source: RNAcentral